This is a long non-coding RNA of Papaver somniferum (opium poppy), 2927 nucleotides long. RefSeq lists it as uncharacterized. The record is from RefSeq and is a predicted model, not a curated record. NCBI's taxonomy places the organism in Eukaryota, Viridiplantae, Streptophyta, Magnoliopsida, Ranunculales, Papaveraceae. The transcript has 12 exons.
CUAUGGACUUAAGAAACCACUAUGAGAAUCAGAAUUUUCUAUGAGAAAAAAAUUGUAAAAAGAAAUUUUCCCAUCUCCGUAAAAAUCUUCUUCUUCUUAACCAUUCACUCACCACAUCGAUCUCUUCAAUCUCUCAGAAAAACCAAAAAUUCCCAAAUCUCAAAUCCACUUCAUUUUUUCAUCCUUCACUUUCACCAGUAAACCAAAUCAAUCAUUUUUUCAUCAUUCGAUCUGAGAAGAAAAUAGACAAACCCUAGCCAUCAACUAAAACCCAGUAAACCAAAUCAAUCACUCUCCAUAUCCCCCUCUCUCUUAAUCUCUCUAAUUAAACAACAAAUAAGUAGAGGAUGUUGAUGAAGACGGAGAAAUCGUAAGGGAUGAUUCUGCUAUCUUCUGGGUUUUCAGUAAGAAAAGAUGAUGACCACAAGUAUGGAGAUCUUGUGAAAUAAUGAAAAUGUUAUGGUGCGAAUAUCCUAGUAAGUAACGGCAGAACCUGUUCUGCAAUUUGCUCAUGGAUAUAGUCUUCGAGAGCAAUGAAAAUCUCAAUCUCACCUUAAGGAAUUGUGAGCUUUUCUAGCAAGGAUAGAAGGCCAUAUGAAAGGAAUUUUGCAGACCCAUCAACUUUAGCUGACUUUGAUGUGGUAUUUGCAGGAAGCAACAAAAAACUAAAGGAAGCAAAAGUUUUACAAUCUGAGGAGGUGAGGAUUAAUGAAUGAUGAUAGAUUGAACAAAUUUUACAUCCAGGUGAGGAUUUGUUGUUGUGUUUAAUGUAUGGGAAGUGAUUGUUUUACCUCCCUGGGUUUGCACUUGUUCUUCCUGCACAUUUCUGUUCAUGAAAAUCUUAAUUCACUGUUUUACUUAACAUAAGAAAGCUAGAUGUUUAGCUAAUCCAUGUAUGUAUGUUGUGUUGACCUAUGCUGCUACAAGUACUUGGGUAGUAGUUGUUCAAUAUGUGCUUUAACGCAUAAAAUAAGGUUUGGCUUGUUCGUAGUAUUGAGCCACGUUGCUCGUUGUUUGUUAACAACAAAUUAUGUUGGUAAGACCACCCAGAUUCCCCAGUAUAUCUUAGAAUCUGAGAUAAAAGCUACAAAUUGAUCUGCAUGUAGUACAAUCUGUACGCAGCCUCGUCGAAUAUCUUCCAUGGCAGUUUCUGAAAGAGUUGCUGCAGAGAGGGGUGAAAAAUUGGGUGAAAUUGUUGGCUAUAAAGUUUGUUUGGAAGGUCAGAGAGGGAGGGAUACUCGCCUUCUGUUUUGUACCAUAGGCAUUUUAUUGAGGACAUUACUGCAUGACAAAAGUUUAAAAGGUGUUACCCAUGUUAUUGUGGAUAAGAUUCAUGAACAUUGAAUGAAUGAAGUUAUCCAGACUUUUUUCAUAUCAUACCAAGGGACCUUCUUCCACGGUGUGCAGAACUGAGGCUUACUUUGAUGAGUCAAACCUUGAAUGGAGAGCUCUUUUUGACCUACUUUGGUGGGGCACCAAUAAUUUAUAUUCCGUGACGUCCUUGGGAAAACAUCAUUAUAUGGUUGGAACACCAUUGAAGAUUUGUAAGCGCAGUUGUGACGCGGGAUCAACAUUUCCAAGUGUUGUUUGUGCAGCUCCUGCAUCUGCUGUUAUGCACGUGCUCUUCUUGGUUUCAUAAAUAGCCUGAAUCCUAAACGGAAGAAAGAUCCACGAAGAAGUAAUCGGGUGUAAGCUUUGGUGUUUGGGGUCAUCGGGUACUGUGGUUUAAGCUUGUCUUCCAAAUAUUUUUUUUGAUCUUUGAACUUUUACACUAUGAUUCCAGGAACACCUACGUUUAGUAUAUUUUUAUCAAUAUUGAUAUUUCACGGCUAAAAGUGUAUCUAGUAUCACAAGAAGAACGACAUCUUGUGUUUCAACCUUUUUCUCUUGGAUAUGGUGACUUUCUUAGUGCAAUAUGAUUUGCAGUAAUUAAAUGUAAGACUUCUUUAUGAGCCUGAUCUUUGUAUGCUUAAAUAUUGGCAAGAUGGUAGCGCAUUAACCAAGUUCGGAAAUGUUUUAGUUGCCUGGAAUUAAUGUGGUCGUGUGUACCAAGCCAAUUUUAGGUGGCUACUGCUCAUGGGUGCCAUUCAUUUUUUUAACUUAUUUUCCAAAGGUACGCCUUGCGAAAACUUGUGAACUGCUCAUGGUUAUAAACAAUAACAUUUGCCAAUGCCACUUGUAUAGGUAGUAUUUGAUUUUACAAUAUGAGUUGAUAUUUUGAUUGAGAUAUAAGACUUUCAAUUGCUAAAUUUGGUCUAUUUUCGAUAACAUUUAUGGAUUUAGAAUUGAUAGAUUUGUGAAAUGCAUGUUCGAUAGAAUGUCAACGAACAUUUAUAAUUACUACGCGGACAGCCUUUUUAGAGGCUAGUUUCGACGCGUAUAGAUGGGGUUUUAGCUAAUAGUUUCUUCUCGAGAAAUGUAUGUUAUAGUGUCCUCUACGGUUUGUUAACAGGGCAUGUUGUUUGGACUUGUAGUUUCGAAGAUGGAGCUUGGAACGUACCGGCAGUCAAGUCAAUUUUCUAAAUUCAGCACCUGUGCCUGUUUUUCCAUCUAAUUUUGUGCCAUUUAGGCUCUGAAUUUGGAAGUUGUAAGGAAAGAUGAUGCUGGUAAUGUGAUUGUCCAGUGCAAAUCAAAUUGGUUGCAUUUCAUCACUGUUUAUUUGCAGGAAGUUAAUGGAAAGAUGAUGCUCUUGGUGGUUGACAUUCCAAUAGGGAGCAGGUGGAACUAAAGCUUGAUUAUAUAUGGGAACGGAUGCAGCUAUGGACCUCCCUACGAGUUUUAAUUGGCAAGUAUGCUCGCUUAGGGCUGGAGCAAUGACCUGAUUUGAGCUAGGUUGUCAGAAACUGAAGGCAUAGAUAGUGAAACUUUAUGGUUUGUUAAGUUUGUAAUAGGAUAUUAGUCUCCAACUUUUUCAGACUUGAAACUUG